UCAGUUCGGAUCGAAGUCUGCAACCCGACUUCGUGAAGCUGGAUUCGCUAGUAAUCGCGCAUCAGCCAUGGCGCGGUGAAUACGUUCCCGGGCCUUGUACACACCGCCCGUCAAGCCAUGAAAGCCGGGGGUACCUGAAGUACGUAACCGCAAGGAGCGUCCUAGGGUAAAACUGGUAAUUGGGGCUAAGUCGUAACAAGGUACC
Molecule: ribosomal RNA, 205 nt
Filed under: uncultured bacterium
Lineage: Bacteria
Description: partial 16S ribosomal RNA
Rfam family: Bacterial small subunit ribosomal RNA
Source: RNAcentral